AAAUGUUGGGUUAAGUCCCGCAACGAGCGCAACCCUUAUCCUUUGUUGCCAGCGGUCCGGCCGGGAACUCAAAGGAGACUGCCAGUGAUAAACUGGAGGAAGGUGGGGAUGACGUCAAGUCAUCAUGGCCCUUACGACCAGGGCUACACACGUGCUACAAUGGCGCAUACAAAGAGAAGCGACCUCGCGAGAGCAAGCGGACCUCAUAAAGUGCGUCGUAGUCCGGAUUGGAGUCUGCAACUCGACUCCAUGAAGUCGGAAUCGCUAGUAAUCGUGGAUCAGAAUGCCACGGUGAAUACGUUCCCGGGCCUUGUACACACCGCCCGUCACACCAUGGGAGUGGGUUGCAAAAGAAGUAGGUAGCUUAACCUUCGGGAGGGCGCUUACCACUUUGUGAUUCAUGACUGGGGUGAAGUCGUAACAAGGUAACCGUAGGGGAACCUGCGGUUGGAUCACCUCCUUACCUUAAAGAAGC
Molecule: ribosomal RNA, 475 nt
Filed under: Shigella flexneri
Lineage: Bacteria; Pseudomonadati; Pseudomonadota; Gammaproteobacteria; Enterobacterales; Enterobacteriaceae
Description: bacterial SSU rRNA
Rfam family: Bacterial small subunit ribosomal RNA
Source: RNAcentral